This 253-nucleotide ribosomal RNA is filed under the name uncultured bacterium. Its description in RNAcentral is "partial 16S ribosomal RNA". It matches the Rfam family "Bacterial small subunit ribosomal RNA", at positions 524 to 776 of the family's 1533-position model. The record is from RNAcentral.
UACGUAGGGUCCGAGCGUUGUCCGGAGUUACUGGGCGUAAAGCGCGCGCAGGCGGCGGUGCUGGCCCGGCGUGAAAGCCCCCGGCUCAACCGGGGAGGGUCGUCGGGGACCGCACCGCUUGAGGGCGGUAGGGGCUGGUGGAAUGCCUGGUGUAGUGGUGAAAUGCGUAGAGAUCAGGCGGAACACCCGUGGCGAAGGCGGCCACCUGGGCCGACCCUGACGCUGAGGCGCGAAGGCGUGGGGAGCGAACGGG